RNAcentral lists this long non-coding RNA (204 nucleotides) under Capsella grandiflora. RNAcentral's name for it is "long non-coding RNA (CGRA_LNC001704)". Lineage: Eukaryota; Viridiplantae; Streptophyta; Magnoliopsida; Brassicales; Brassicaceae. The record is from RNAcentral.
CAUUAUAUCGUAAUUUAUAUUUUGAAAUUCAUAUAUAUAUCGUAACAAGAAAGGCAAGUAUACAACAACUACACAAGUUGCCAAGUGUUCUAUCAGAUUUUGGGGAAGACAAACAUCAUUGUACAUUCAUAGUGUUAUAAAAAAAAAUUUAAAAAGUUUUAAUUAUAGAAUAAAGAAAAGUGAAAAGAGAAAGAGAAAAAAAAA